AGAACAGGCAUUUAAUAGAUCUUACAGCCUGAUGGCAGAGAGACAUCUAAAACACAAUCACACAUAUAACUAUUUAAUUUUAAAUUGUGCCAUUUGUAUAGUUUAUUUCAAAAAUGGGGGGCUAUGAUAGGAAAUAGUGGGGGGCAUACUUGAGGUUGGGGUUCAAGGGGUGCCUUAUUAAUGAGUGGACAGAAUGAUCUCAGGUGGCUGGAGAUUUGAACUUGUGCCUCCUGAUGUCUUAGGUCAGCAAGCUCAUCCCUUCAACUCUGACCUCCUUGACUUUGGCCAUGGAAGCUACCCCCUCUCCUGCCUCUGCAACAAUAUCCCCGAUAUUUAGUGCCACCCUGGGAUUCAGCAUUAAAUUAGCACAAGGCUUUCAUUAUCUACAUGCAGAAACUCAGGAUCUGGCUAGGGUUGGGAUUGCUUGUCCAUUGUCAAGGUUGGGUCUGGAACCGGGACACCUGAGCCUAAAGGUCCCCACCUCCCCACUGUGAUUCAGCUCACACCCUAAACCCUCUGACCUCUGACUUCUUCCCAAGGAAAGAAUGAUGGAAGGCAAAUGUCUCCUAGAGAAAUUCAUUUUGAGGAAGCACCAUCGUUAGGGGGAAACCCAGUUCCUUCUUGGAGACCCUUGAUGUAAUCUGAGGGCCCUCUAGGAUCCCACAAUUAAUAAGUAAUAAAAAAUGCAGUAUUAAAAAUAAGCUAUUACAGGGUGUGUUAAAGCUAUAACUUUCAGAAUGAUAAUCACCACUUCUUGGUUUGCUGUGUUUAUAUUCUAUCUGGCCUGGCUUCCAGGUUGCUCUACCCCAGAGGGAACAUAUUUCUGAAUGUUCUGACUCGUCUGUAGACCUUUUUGCUAGCACAGCACAUAACUAGCAGGAUUUCAACCCAGAUCUUUUGACUCUAAGCCCAGUGCUUUUCAACUCCAACAUGUAAGGUUAGUAACAAAUUUGGUUUGGGAUACAUGGGGGCCACAGAAAUGGUGAAUGUUUCAAGUGAUUUCCCACAGGCAAAUGGACACAGGCAGAUGGUCACUAAUUUAUCCAGCAAACAUUUGCUGAAUGCCAACAAGUCAGGCCCUGUGGAUUUCCUGGUGGAUAAGACCAAUUCAAGUCCCACCCUCAUGGAACGAAUAAUUGUCCCGGAAAUUCAUGCAAUAAGCACAUGACUACCCAGAUAAUGAUUAAUGACAACAGUUCUGAGUACUGGUUGGGUUUGUACAGGGAGGGCACAAUUGAACUUAACAAACUGCCCUCCAAACCAAGUCUUAUUUUAGUCCUAGCCAUCUGGGAAAAUAGCACAUCCACCCCCGACCCUUGUGCGGGAGCCAGUAACCCAGGAGUCCUCCUCAUACCUUCUCAGUCCCCAUUGCCAACCCCACAACAUAUCCCCCACCCCGAUUGUGCUCUUAAGCGCCUUUCAGAAUUUUGCACCUCUAUCUUCACUGCCAUUAUCUCCACUAGCACUGUCAUCUCUUGCAGUACCCCUGCUGGGUCUGCCCCCAACCCAGGGCCCCUGAAGCCCAUUCUACACAGUGCAGCCAUGUUGCAGAUCACAUUCAGUGAUCUUCUGAAAGGAAAAACUUGUCAUGCCACCCUUAGCCUCACUGCUAUUCCUCCACCUUUCUACACCUCCACCCCAUCCCUCAUUGAAAACCUCAGUUUCUCUUGACUCUUAGAAUCAGGACAUGCUUCAGAGUAUAUCCUAUAAAGUUCUGAUAUUCUGCCUUUUUCCUUUCCCCAAACUCCUACUGAAGCACAUCCCUCAUUCUCUGCCCAAGCAACCCCAGCCCUCUUUCAAUCCCUAAUAUGUGCUUUGCUUUCUCCUAAAAAUCACUUCUCCAUGGUGGAAUGCUCACACAUCUCUUCUCCCUCAUUGCCCUCCCUUGCAUCCAUCCAGUAAUGAGUUCCUAGAUCUUGUCACUCCUAUGCCUACCAACCUGAUUGUCUGCUCCCACAGGCUCCAUAAGAGACAAGUUUGUCUUGGCUCAUAAUUAUAUCUGUGGCAUCUGGGCCAGGGCAUACUAUAGAGCAAGGAAGUAAGUAACAAAUGAGUGAAUGAAUGAACAAAAAACUCCCUGAGGAACUUUGAGCUGAGAAGUAAAAUGCCAGCAGAAGCCAGUGAGGUAAAGGAACUGGGAAGGAAGUAACAUCCCAGUCUAAAGGAAAAGCAUGCCAUGGAGAGGAACUGGAAUGGACCCUCCUUCACUUUCUAGGAAGAAAAGAUAUGAAAAUAGUCCCUUCCAUCCUGAAUAGGCCAGAGAAAUGCAGUCUCAGCUAAUGCACUGAUAGGGGUUGAGGCAAGGGCCUUCUUGUAAUGAACAUAGUUCAGGUAGGAGACAAAUAUACUUACGGCAUUAAAAAAAAGGGGGGGUUAUUUUCACAAGGUCAGAGUCAUAGAAAUAGAAAAACGGAUUUUCUUCAUAGACUAGACUGUGGCAUCCUCAGGAAAAAAACUGAUUUCCACAGUGGCACAUGCUUGCAGGUGAUUGAGGAAGAAACCAGUGAUGAGCAUCCCCCAGGGAUAAAGACCAAACUACAGAGGAAGCAAUCAUGGGGCUCUUCCUCUCCUGACAGGGAGAAGCCUGGGAGGAGGAAUGGCCCAUUAGCCUUUCCCAGUGCCUAAGCCAGGGACACAGUGGUCUCUUGAGAGGGGUGAGUGUUCUAAGGAAAGGCUUAGUCGGCUAGAGCUGCCAUAACAAAAAUAUCAUAGACUGAGUGGCUUACACAACAUUUAUUUUUCACAAUUCUGGAGGCUAGAAGUCCCAGGUCAAGGUACAAAGAGAUUCAGGGCCUGAUAAGGGCCCCCUUCCUGGGGUAUAGACAGCCCCUUUCUUACCGUGACUUUGUAUGGCCUUUCCUUGGCGUGUGUGUGCACAUGGAGAGGAAGCUCUGGUGUCUUUCCCUCUUCUUCUCAGGGCACUGAUCCUAUUACGGGGACCCUAGCCUUAUGACCUCCAAAAGGCCCCCACUCCUAAUACUACCACAUAAUAGAUGCUUAGGGCUUCAACAUAGGAAUUUUGCGGAGACACAAAUAUUCAGUCCAUAACAGCUUUGGGUGAGGAUAGUUCAAAGAGGAGCUCAAAAGUGGAUACAAAGAUGUUUGAGGAGGUAGGAGGGUGGACUAAUAAGGGCACUGUCUACUCAAAAUUAAUGUGAGGCUUUACACCCUCACUUCAGGCCAAGGAUCAAGUUAGCUUGCUAGGUCAGAACUCCCUGUUCUCCCACUGGGUACAUUUGGGGAUGUUCUUUUAAAUGUUCAGGAAAACAACUGCUAAUGACUAAUUUGGAAUUAACAUGUGGUCUGUCAGCGGGAAGAGGCAUGGUGUUGUUGGAGGUAAGGAGAUGGGGAGCUACUGGGGGGUUUCCAAGGACCCCUGAUUGCCUGAUACAAUCACCUUGGGGUACAUCCUGUAGUUACUAAAGGGGAAAAGUCUACAGACCAGCAGAGGACCCUGGAAGCCAGGGAGCCUAUAUGGUCUCCUUCUUUGCUAUUUCUCUUCCCCAGCAGGUUCUAAGGGAGAAUUUCUACUAUAGGAGGGAGAGAACUUGGCAUAUAGGUUACAGAUGCUAAAUUUAUGGGGAAGAAAAGAAUUUCACAUAUUCAUAGGACAGAAAGAAGGCUAGACAUGCAGAAGUGUAGUAUUGGGGCUAACCCCAAGCGCAGGGUGGAGCUAAACAGCAGAGACCAGUCUCAGCAGAUGCUGUAGCCUGUGGUCAACCUGCUGGACCUGAUUGAAGAGCAGUGAGAAGCCAUGGGCAGGCUACCACGAGAGUAGCAUUUUUCAGACCAUAUUGGCCACAGCGUGGCCAAUGGAUUAGAGGGAGCAAGAGUGGCUGUAGAGAGGCCACUGGGAAGCUACCCCAGAUGAUGGGAUGGUGGCCUGAGCAGUGGGUACAGAGGGGUGAAGAAGAAGUCUUUUCCUAGGUGUGAUGGAUAAUAAUAGAGGGGGAGAGGGGGAGGUCAGGUAGACUAGGACAGGGUUUCUGACAUGUGCAAACUGGAUUGUGGGUGGCACUGUUGCCUGGACUGGGGGCCACUGGAGGGGUCUCCCACACUCUCGAGAAAGCCACAGUGUAGCUUUUUCCUCGGAAGAAUUCUUGAGCUGCUUCCUUGGGGCGGUAGUUCCCAGUGAUCCAGUUACUUCCCUCCUCUGCACAGUUUUAUGUGGACUGGGCUUUUGGUUAGCUUUCUUUUGAAAUGACUGGUUCUCAUUUCCUCCUCCACACACUCUCUGAAGUGUGUUUGUUUCAGAAUGUUACAUAAAGGCCUUUCCCCAUCUCUCUUCUAUUUGUCUUUGUCGAUGGACCUCCCUCCCGUACAGGAUAGAUGACCACAUGGGUUUCAACAAAAUGAGUUUGCCAAGUACCUUGGGCCGAGUUCUCUGUAACUGCUCAAUAGCCAGCAAAAGACGUGGGUGGAGAUUAAAUUGUCCUCCUUCCUGAAAACGGUUAGAUCUCUGUAGCUCCUUUCCCUGUGGUCUCAGGCACAUUUUGAGGGUGGGCCUUCUGGUUAGCAUAAUACAGGACAUGGUAAACACUAGUAAAGGAAGAAUAAUUAAGGACAUUAUGUAAAAUGUGGCUAAUGGAUGCCAACUACGCACCAGCUAAACUGGUUGCAUUUUUUUGACUUGUAGCCAAAGCAUUUUAUCUUUUGGUUGUUUCCGUUUUUUGCUCACACAGGUUCUGCUUCUCUCUUAGGCCUCCCCUUCUGCUUCAGCAGCUUCAUCUGCGCCCUUCAUCUUUCUUCCUCUUGCUUUUUCUGGUUUCCUUCUCCUUGGCCCCCUUGCUGACUCCUGGCUUCUUACAUAUUUGUUCCCCUCCCCCACCCCACCACCCCCUCGCUCUCCUCUCUCUUUCUCUCCUUGUCACCAUUUGUUCUCUAUCACCCUCCUUUCUGGCUGGCUGAUGUUGGAAGCAUUUCAGGAAUUUUUAAUUGAAAAUACCAUGAGAACUGUUAUCACCUCUGUUUCACCACCGAGAAGACCCGCGGCUCGGGCAUGAUGAUGGGUGACUCCCGAACGGGUGGGCUUUAAUAUCUCACCUAGGUUAACUAGGGCAGCUGGGCUCUGCUAACCUAGGCCCCGGGGUGGAAUGUGAGAAAUGAAAUAUGGUCUGACAAGAAGGAGGGUGUGUUGAAUAACCAAAAAUUCCUAUAAAGUCUGAAGAGGGGGAGAGUAGUAGAGGAUGAGGAAUUAGUUAAAAAAACCAAAACAAUCAGAAACUCUCCUGCGCCCCCCCCCCUCAGCUUUCUGCCACAAAAAUGACGGUGAGGGAAAGCAGGUACCACCUGGAUGUCUGAGAAGGAACAGGAGCCUCCUUCCUCCCUGCCUGGAGCACUCUGCCCUGCCUCUGUUCUCCCAGCUGUCCCUGAUCCUGACUCUGCAGCCUGGGUCAGAUGAGCUCAGCCUUCUUUGAUCUUCCCUGUGAGGUCACCGGCUCCCCCCCCCACCAGCCUUCUCCCAUGUCCCAGGUCAGCCUUCACAUCUGCCAGGUCCUCAGAAACUGGGAGGAUGAGGACGAAGGUGACAGUGGGACCAUGUGGGGUGGGUUGGUGUGGGGGUGGGGAGGGGCCUGGACCUUUUCCCCUAUUAUCAGGUCACAACCAAAGGAUCAUAUUUUCAAUCAGUUACUGUGGAAUAGGGAAGGAGGGCUGCGAUGCUGGGACACCAGGGAAAAAGGUGAUGCUCUGCUUCUUUACUCCUCUUCUACAUCUUCAGUUGGAGUCAGGGCUAUGGCAGAAGAAACAGCAGGUACUGGGACUGGAAGGAACCACAGCAGGCAUCUCCUCCACUGGUUCUCAUCCUGGCCCCUGGAUUCAGUGGACAACCCCUCCCACCCACCAUCAACCAGGGCGGCUCCACUUCUACGUGUUUCCUGUAAUGAGGUCCUGUGCAAGAUUUUGAGAAAAGGACUCCACUGCUGAAAAAUAAGAGGUAAAAUUUUGAAAUCCAAGCCUCUCCUGUUUAUUUAUAAAUAAACCAAGGCCCAGAGAAGUUACGAGAUAAACCAAAAUAAUACUGUGGUAACUGCAUAGCCAACCCAGCCUUGGGUCUCCUACCCUCAGCUAAUUUCCCUGGUGACUGAACAACCUCAAAGGUGGAAGAAUAGAACCAUACUCAGGUGAGGCUGAUGG
RNAcentral lists this long non-coding RNA (6135 nucleotides) under Sus scrofa (pig). RNAcentral describes it as "lncRNA (ENSSSCG00000062177.1)". The record is from RNAcentral. Lineage: Eukaryota; Metazoa; Chordata; Mammalia; Artiodactyla; Suidae.